CAUAGGUUAAUGAGGCGAACCGGGGGAACUGAAACAUCUAAGUACCCCGAGGAAAAGAAAUCAACCGAGAUUCCCCCAGUAGCGGCGAGCGAACGGGGAGCAGCCCAGAGCCUGAAUCAGUGUGUGUGUUAGUGGAAGCGUCUGGAAAGGCGCGCGAUACAGGGUGACAGCCCCGUACACAAAAAUGCACAUACUGUGAGCUCGAUGAGUAGGGCGGGACACGUGGUAUCCUGUCUGAAUAUGGGGGGACCAUCCUCCAAGGCUAAAUACUCCUGACUGACCGAUAGUGAACCAGUACCGUGAGGGAAAGGCGAAAAGAACCCCGGCGAGGGGAGUGAAAAAGAACCUGAAACCGUGUACGUACAAGCAGUGGGAGCACGCUUAGGCGUGUGACUGCGUACCUUUUGUAUAAUGGGUCAGCGACUUAUAUUCUGUAGCAAGGUUAACCGAAUAGGGGAGCCGAAGGGAAACCGAGUCUUAACUGGGCGUUAAGUUGCAGGGUAUAGACCCGAAACCCGGUGAUCUAGCCAUGGGCAGGUUGAAGGUUGGGUAACACUAACUGGAGGACCGAACCGACUAAUGUUGAAAAAUUAGCGGAUGACUUGUGGCUGGGGGUGAAAGGCCAAUCAAACCGGGAGAUAGCUGGUUCUCCCCGAAAGCUAUUUAGGUAGCGCCUCGUGAAUUCAUCUCCGGGGGUAGAGCACUGUUUCGGCAAGGGGGUCAUCCCGACUUACCAACCCGAUGCAAACUGCGAAUACCGGAGAAUGUUAUCACGGGAGACACACGGCGGGUGCUAACGUCCGUCGUGAAGAGGGAAACAACCCAGACCGCCAGCUAAGGUCCCAAAGUCAUGGUUAAGUGGGAAACGAUGUGGGAAGGCCCAGACAGCCAGGAUGUUGGCUUAGAAGCAGCCAUCAUUUAAAGAAAGCGUAAUAGCUCACUGGUCGAGUCGGCCUGCGCGGAAGAUGUAACGGGGCUAAACCAUGCACCGAAGCUGCGGCAGCGACGCUGAUGCGUUGUUGGGUAGGGGAGCGUUCUGUAAGCCUGUGAAGGUGUGCUGUGAGGCAUGCUGGAGGUAUCAGAAGUGCGAAUGCUGACAUAAGUAACGAUAAAGCGGGUGAAAAGCCCGCUCGCCGGAAGACCAAGGGUUCCUGUCCAACGUUAAUCGGGGCAGGGUGAGUCGACCCCUAAGGCGAGGCCGAAAGGCGUAGUCGAUGGGAAACAGGUUAAUAUUCCUGUACUUGGUGUUACUGCGAAGGGGGGACGGAGAAGGCUAUGUUGGCCGGGCGACGGUUGUCCCGGUUUAAGCGUGUAGGCUGGUUUUCCAGGCAAAUCCGGAAAACUAAGGCUGAGGCGUGAUGACGAGGCACUACGGUGCUGAAGCAACAAAUGCCCUGCUUCCAGGAAAAGCCUCUAAGCAUCAGGUAACAUCAAAUCGUACCCCAAACCGACACAGGUGGUCAGGUAGAGAAUACCAAGGCGCUUGAGAGAACUCGGGUGAAGGAACUAGGCAAAAUGGUGCCGUAACUUCGGGAGAAGGCACGCUGAUAUGUAGGUGAAGCGACUUGCUCGUGGAGCUGAAAUCAGUCGAAGAUACCAGCUGGCUGCAACUGUUUAUUAAAAACACAGCACUGUGCAAACACGAAAGUGGACGUAUACGGUGUGACGCCUGCCCGGUGCCGGAAGGUUAAUUGAUGGGGUCAGCGCAAGCGAAGCUCUUGAUCGAAGCCCCGGUAAACGGCGGCCGUAACUAUAACGGUCCUAAGGUAGCGAAAUUCCUUGUCGGGUAAGUUCCGACCUGCACGAAUGGCGUAAUGAUGGCCAGGCUGUCUCCACCCGAGACUCAGUGAAAUUGAACUCGCUGUGAAGAUGCAGUGUACCCGCGGCAAGACGGAAAGACCCCGUGAACCUUUACUAUAGCUUGACACUGAACAUUGAGCCUUGAUGUGUAGGAUAGGUGGGAGGCUUUGAAGUGUGGACGCCAGUCUGCAUGGAGCCGACCUUGAAAUACCACCCUUUAAUGUUUGAUGUUCUAACGUUGACCCGUGAUCCGGGUUGCGGACAGUGUCUGGUGGGUAGUUUGACUGGGGCGGUCUCCUCCUAAAGAGUAACGGAGGAGCACGAAGGUUGGCUAAUCCUGGUCGGACAUCAGGAGGUUAGUGCAAUGGCAUAAGCCAGCUUGACUGCGAGCGUGACGGCGCGAGCAGGUGCGAAAGCAGGUCAUAGUGAUCCGGUGGUUCUGAAUGGAAGGGCCAUCGCUCAACGGAUAAAAGGUACUCCGGGGAUAACAGGCUGAUACCGCCCAAGAGUUCAUAUCGACGGCGGUGUUUGGCACCUCGAUGUCGGCUCAUCACAUCCUGGGGCUGAAGUAGGUCCCAAGGGUAUGGCUGUUCGCCAUUUAAAGUGGUACGCGAGCUGGGUUUAGAACGUCGUGAGACAGUUCGGUCCCUAUCUGCCGUGGGCGCUGGAGAACUGAGGGGGGCUGCUCCUAGUACGAGAGGACCGGAGUGGACGCAUCACUGGUGUUCGGGUUGUCAUGCCAAUGGCACUGCCCGGUAGCUAAAUGCGGAAGAGAUAAGUGCUGAAAGCAUCUAAGCACGAAACUUGCCCCGAGAUGAGUUCUCCCUGACUCCUUGAGAGUCCUGAAGGAACGUUGAAGACGACGACGUUGAUAGGCCGGGUGUGUAAGCGCAGCGAUGCGUUGAGCUAACCGGUACUAAUGAACCGUGAGG
RNAcentral lists this ribosomal RNA (2732 nucleotides) under Escherichia coli. RNAcentral describes it as "partial 23S ribosomal RNA". It matches the Rfam family "Bacterial large subunit ribosomal RNA". The record is from RNAcentral. Lineage: Bacteria; Pseudomonadati; Pseudomonadota; Gammaproteobacteria; Enterobacterales; Enterobacteriaceae.